AACUCUUUUAAGCAACAACUUACUGAAUUUUAAACAAGUUAAAGAUUAAGCUCUAAAGCUACUCAAACUAAUAAAGAAUGAAAUGACAUUGUGUCAGCAAUACAUUUUGGGUGUUUGUAUGUGUAAAUGGAUAAAGAGGUUGGACAAUAAUAGUACCAGUCUUCGUUGGUGGGUAGCGAAACUCAUCGAACCUCCGGUGUGAAGCGAGCCUCCCAUUUCAAAGGCUCAAUUUGCCUUUCCCCAUUCCCUCUUUGCCUUAUAUUUAGGAGUGUACCAUAAUAUCAAGAACUUAGCCCAUACUUCAUCAUUCACCCAACUAGGUUGUACCAAUUUCCUCCGGGCCUCAUACAAGUGUUCUUGGAUCCGUAGAGCUGUUUUCGACCAAAAAAUACGGUCUAUUUCAUUACCAUGACAGUUACUCCAUGUACACUUUGUCUGCAAAAUAGUUUAAUAUAAAGUCAUUUACAAUGGAAAAACUAUCUUUAGGCAAUGAGAUUCAUAGCUUAUAAAACUGCUUAUACCAUAAACUAUUUCCACAUGUCAAUUCUAAUUUCUCAUGGAAUCUCUAACAAACUAUUCCACGGCUCUUUGAAAAAUUGUUUAAUUACUUCUAUAACCAUAUGCUCGGUGGCAUAUGUUAGAAUGAACCUACGAUAAAAUUAUAUCAAACCAUCAUCUUAGCUUUUAAAAAUUAAGGGAAAACUUAAGGGUUACUUACCCAUCACAAUAAAGGACGAUUUGUAAACUCCCAAACUUGUCAUAUUCUAAUACCUCUUUAAAUUGCAGAUUUUGAGAAGCAGCUGCUGUAGAAUUAGUCGUUGUAGCACUAUCAAUGGAUGGUGAUGUUGGUGUGUUAGGACCUCUAAUUCUUAAUCCAGAAAGGCUUGGUGUGGAUGAUGUUGAAGCCAAAGAUGAAGAGCUACUAUGUAGACUAUUUUAGGAUGAAGAGGUGUGGAAUUGGUCAAAAUGUAGAGGCAUGAAAAAUAUAUUUGGUAGUGAAAUAGUUGAUUCAGGAGGGGGAGAAAUAUUUGUAGUAGCUGGUUGAAGAGUUGUGGUAACAGGUGGUGGUAGUAUAUAUUGACCUGCAGGAAGAUUAUCAGGUGCUUUCUUACUUUUCUUACGUCAUCCAUUAAAAUUACCUUUUGAUGUCAUUGAUUUUCUUUACUAACCAUCUGAAAAAGAAAGAACAACAAAAGAUUCAGCUGGUGAAAAGUUGUAAAUAGAAGAAAUUGAUAUCCUUACAGAAAAUUCAGCUGGCUAAGGGAUCCAAUUAUGUUUGGUAUCAGUCCAGAAAACCCGCAACCAACGAGGAUACUACAAUGAAGGUAGGAGCAAUUACUCUCUAGAAAUAAAGAAACAAGCUGGUGAAUUAACAAUAUUUGAGCAUUAUCAUCAUGUAAUUCCCUUACAGAAUUGAUAAUGUCUUCAAACUUCCAAUUGAUUGAGGGAGUGAACCAGUCAAGCCUUUGUUGUAUGAUAGAUCACUAUAAAGGAAAUAUAGAAAUAAAAAAAUCUGAGAAAUUCAACAUUCAAGAAUAAUAUUUGUGCAUACAUUGCAUAAACACAAGCACAACAAGUUUAAUAAUAUUUCAUGCAAAGUAAAAAGCUUCGGUGCUUCAAGAUUACGUAUAAGUAAUAUUUGUUUUAUGAUCAUCUAGCAAAGGUGGCACUGGAAUAACAUAAGGAAUUCAAGUUCACGCUAGUGCUAACCCAAUAAAUUUCUUUUUUCAGUCUGUAAAAUAUAAGGGAGAUGGCAAAGAUGCUUUCGGCAUAUGAGUUAUAAGCCUUACACAAAAAUAAAAAAGUAGUGCUAAGGCUCUGCUCCAUCAAUAUUGUUAUAUUCUUCUUGUAGCUUCUUUUGUUCUUUAGCUUUAGUUUUUUAUUUUGAAUUCAUGGGGUUAGCUUUUCGUUGGGAUAUAAGUGAAAUUUUUUGUUGAAGAAAGGAUACAACUAAAAUUUUGCAGUCCACAAAAAAAGUUCAGAACCAAAUCAGAGAACAACUAAUCUGAAUAGAGAAAACGUAUAACUAGCACCAAAAAAGAGCUUUGUGCAUCAAGAAAGCAAGAAAGACAACUCAAGCAGUAACAAAUGCUCUAAUUAAAGCCCACAGAUAUUUUAACAGCAUGGAUAAUUUUGAUUCUCACAGAGGAAAACACAAAAGGAUCCCUUAUCUUUGAAGAUAGAUAUCACGGUCCAAAAAUAAGAGUCAUGAUGGCACUUGUCGCGGCGUACCUUGACAAGUAAGCCUAUCACCCAAACUGAUGCGAAAAGAGAAAAAGAGACAGAAAUAUUCCAAGGUAAGGCUUCUAGAGCGAAGUUGAACCAUAUGAGUAAUCAUAACAAUGUGGAAAGAACUUAUCCAAAAUAUAAAUCCUACCCAAAACCAGGUGUCAAUAGUGUAAGAACUACUAAUACAAUCUAAGAGUCAAAUACAUCGAAAAAAUAACCACAAAGGAAUAAUAUUUGUCUCCAAAUACUAAGAAAGACAUAACUACUAUAGAAAGAUAGAGGUGAACUUCAGACACAUAAAUGUCCAACCACUACCUUGGAAGCUCCAAUAAUUUCCCGAGUCAAGCAAACUGAGGCACACUCGAGCUAGGACCUCCACCGAAAGGGUGCAGUAGGCAUGAGUAUGGUACACUUGUACUUAGUAGGUAUCAUAGUCUGACCAAGCAAAGUAGUAAAUAAAGCAUACAAAAUACACAAUAAGGGCACGUCACCUGCAAUCAGAAAAUGUCCCGCAACGAUAGCCCACACCUCUUGCACUAAUAGUUCUAAUGUAUAUCAUAUAUAUUACAAAAACACACCAAGAUAUAGAACACAAGUAUACAUUAUGUCACAUAUAAAUAAAACAGGGGAGAAUAUGUAGCUAUAAGAUCAUCAAAUACAAAUAAAGAAAGGUAAGAUAAAUACAUAGAUGACAAGUCAAUAUGACAAUACAACACAACAUAAACUUAAUAAAGUAGGUGAAAUGUAUAUGAUGACAAUGAUGAUGAUGAUGAUGAUGGUGUACGAGGUCAUCGUACAACCUCCGAGAUCGUUUCACAAUCCCCGUAUACACCUACAGAGCUAAAGCUUCCUAAAGUAGGACCCACAGGGGGUUCAUCAACCCGUAUACAAUCCAAAUAUCUCAUAUCAAUUUUCUGGAAUAUCUUGAAAAGGGUUUUAUAAGGUGUUAAAAUAUCUCCUCCUCGUCACUGUAAUACCCCGACUUUUCUUAGCUCAGUUUAGCUCCUAGUGUGUCAAGGGACAAAUUUAAAAAUGUAUAACUCUUUAUAUAUAUGAAAUUUUUUGGUUCUAGACCCACCAAAUGGUUGAUAAUUGAAUCAGCUUUCCAACGAUACCAAUUUUGCCUCAAUAUGAUGCUCGGUUAAGAAGUUAUGGCAAUUUUAGUGAAAGCAGUAGGACACCGCGAUAAGAACCACGUCGCGGUGAAAGACAAAUUUGCAAUUGUCCAAUUUUCAGUGGAGCACUGUGAUUAGCCUGUAUCGCAGAGAAGUUCCAGUUCCCAUUCAUCCUUUUCCAAUAGCUCACCUCGACUAAUUUGUAUCGCGUUAAAAUUCCCAAUUAGACAGACACCGCAUUGCAGUGGAGUGCAAAAUGGCACUCGUCCUUUUCCAGUGACACAACGUGAUUACACCACAUCAUGCCAGAGCCCAAAAUGGCGUUCGUCCUUUUUCCAGUGGGUCACCGGGAUUGUACCGCAUCACGGUGGGGCUCAAAAUUGGGAUUUCCAGUUUUGAACUAAUUUUUACAAAGGGCAACCUAGUCAUUUCACAAGCCCCCAAUUCGUGUAAAACACAAGAUUUAACCUAUUCUAAGCAUUAUAUGCUCACUCUUCAUCAAUUUCUUUCCAAGAAACACUAAAACCUCAAAACUUAAACCCUAAGAAAUCCAAAUUCCACCAUUUUUUUUUCAAGAUAACCCAAAUUCAAGAACUUCAAAAAUCAAUCGUCAAGAGCACAAAUAAGAAUUCAAGUUCAAGCUUCUUUAUCAGUUUCACCAAUUAAGGUAUGUGGGGUUAUGAACAAGGAUAAUUCUUUCAUCCUUGUGACCAAAGUUAUUUUAAAUUUGAAUUUUGUAUGAAAUUAUAUGAAUUUCAGUUUAGGGUUUAUACCCACUUAAUUACUAUUUGAAGAUUAUGAGAUAUUGAGAGAUUUAGAUAUUGAAUUGCAUGUGUACUUUCGUAUUUUUAUGCGUAUUGCAGUAAUUUUUUGAUUUAGAAUUGAUUAUCAAUAUUUUCAUUAUCAAGCAUGAACUUUAUGAUGAUUUGACAUGAAAUAGAUGCAUGGGUUAUUAGCCCUAGUUUGAAUGUUGUUAUUUUAAGAAGAUUAUGCUUUUAAGCAUCCUAUGAUUUGUAUUUUUAGAUUUUUAUAAAGAUUUGAUCUUUUGAUCCUCGGUUAAGAUAUGGAAUCCACUUUACAAUUUUAUUACAGUUUACAAAAAAUAGCUUAACUUUGCUUACAGUUUGAAACAAAUAGAUGCAUCAUUGUUUUUUCAUUAUAAACCCUUAUGCUCGUUUUAAAAAGUGAAUUUCCAACAGAAUGAGCAUACAGAUUAAAGGGAGUAGUCACCCCAGAACUACAGCCAACAUAGGUACAGAUCAUCAGAUUAUUCUCAUUUCUAUAUGGAUGACAGAUACAGAUGUGAUCACUUAGCUUAGGUUAUACUCCUUGGCAAGAGUAUGACACCUCUCCCCAAUGUGAGAUUUUCCCAUAAAGUAAUUAGACAUUGGACACUAUGAUAGCUCCCAUAGUAUAUGUCUAUUAGAAGAACCUCCCUAAUAAUAAAGACUUACAGAACAGUUUUAGAAACUAAGUGUGAAGGCUUACAAUUUUAUUCAGAUAUUGCUUUACAUAUGACUUUAGCUAUAAAAUUUUAGAUUUGAGUUUACAGAUACAAAAGUGAGUCUUUUCUACACUUAGACAACAUGAUUUAAAGACAGAAUACCAGUACAGCUCUUAAAACUAAAUGUUAUGACUCACUAGAUUUAUGCAACAUGUCUUGCUAUUCAUGAUUAUGAUUUUUAGUUUUCACAUAUUCCAGCUUAUGUGAGUCAUCCACAUUUAGCAUUCAUUAUUUUACAAAUUUAUUAUAAUAUUAAGAUAUUAAUUCAGUUAUGCAUUCACUCCUAUAUACUUGGUACAAUCCAAAAGUACUGAUCCACAUAUACGUCUAUGUGCUAUAUUGUUUCAUAAUGUAGGUUCAAGUGCUCAGUUUCAGCAGCAUGAGUGAUUUUGAGCAUCUCUAUCAGCAUCCCGAUAGUUGGUAAGUCUACAUAGUUCAGGGACCCAGUUAUUUAGUUUUUUUAGCUUAUUAGAAUAUAUAAUUCAGUAUUUUUAGACAAUUUAAGUCAGCUGGGGGCUUGUCCCAGUGACUCUCUAGUUAUUAGUAGUAGAGGCUUAUCAGACUGCUAGAUAUGAUGCAUAUUUCCAGUAUUAUUUUUCCAGACUGUGAGUCAAAUAAUUUCUGAUAUUAUGUUUAGAUAAUUUCAGCUUAGAUCAGACAAACUUCUACAUUGAUUUUAUGAUUAUUUUUAGAAAAUCAUCUCUUUCCUUCAUGAUCUAUUGUACUUACAAUAUCUCUAUCUGCUUUUAACUCGUGCUCUUACAUGACAUUUGAAUAUGCCUCUUCAUUGUGCUAAUGCAUACAGAAAUAAUAACUAGCCACCCCAGCCUAUUGACCCUCUGAAUGAGAAUGUAUCCCUUACUGAAUUUUAAGCUGCUUUUCAGGUGUUGGACGAGGCUAUGACUGCUAAUGUUCAGGGCAACCAUCAGUCGGUAGUCCCACUUCAGUAGAAUAAGGAUUUAGUAGCUGUCAGAAUUUGUGACUUUAAGAGAAUGAAGUCGCCUGAGUUCUUUAGGUCAAAAACAGGUGAGGACCCAUAACUUUACUUAGAUAAGGUGAGGAAGACCACCCAGAUUAUGCAUAUUUCUAAAGAGGAGAGUGUAGAUUUGGUAUCCUAUAGGUUGAGAGAUGUAGCAUAUGAUUGGGUGGUUAUGUAGAAGAAUGGUAGAGAUGAGAAUGCAGCUCCUAUGAGUUAGCAGGUAUUUCGGGAUGCAUUUCCAUACAGGUUCUUUUCGUGUGAGAUGAGAGAAGCUAAGGUAGAGGAGUUUAUGAACCUGAGGCAGGGCUUGAUGGUAGUAAAUGAGUACUACCUUAAGUUUAACCAGUUGUUUAAGUAUGCCCCUGAUACGAUGGAUGACCCUAGGGCAAGCAUGAGUAAGUUUGUUACUGGAGUAUCUGGUUUGGUAGUUAAGGAGUGUAGGACUGCCAUGCUAAUUGAGGACAUGGAUUUUGCUAGGCUGAUGAUUUAUGCCCAGUAGACUAAGGCAGAAAAGUUGAAGAAAAGAGAGAGAGGAAAUAAAAAGGCUAGAACCGGGUAGUUUGAGUAUGGCCAGACAAAGUUUGGAGGGGGAAAUUAUUUGCAGUUUCAGAAUCAUUCAUCUAUGCUAGCUCCAUCUUCAUAUAGCGCUCUCACUCCCAGAACUAGGCAAGAGGAGUGAAGUAAGACAUUUAUGUCCAGAUCUCAGAAUAGUGAGAGUGGAAAACCGAGUUAUCCUCCACGUGCUAAGUAUGGUAAGAAUCAUAUUGGUGAGUACUUGUUGGGACAGAAAGGUUGUUAUGGUUGUGAUAAGCUGGGUCAUGGAAUCAAAGAGUGUCUGCAUGCUAAGCAGGAAAACAGGGAUGUUCAUCCCCAGAAUGAGGCUACUAGCAUACCAGCUCCUCUAGGUUGCGUAGUCUCUUUUCGUGGUGUAUCAUCCAGAACCAGUGGCGGUUAGUGCCAGAAUCAGUUUUAUGCUUUACCAUCCCAUCAGAAGCAGGAGGAUUCACCAAAUGUUAUUACUGGUAUGCUUCGUGGCUUUCAUCUUGAUGUUUAUAUGUUGCUAGAACCCGAAUUGAAUUUCUCUUAUGUGAUCCCACUAGUUGCAAUAAGUUUUGAAGUAGGUCCUGAAAAGAUCCCAAAUCCCUUUUUAGUUUUUGCCCCAGUGGGUGAGUCAGUUAUUGCCAGGCAGAUCUAUAGAAAGUGUCUUAUUAUUGUCCUUAAAAUCGUGUUUCCUGACUUAAUAGAGUUAGAUAUGGUUGACUUUGACCUUAUUCUUAGUAUGGAUUGGCUCCAUUCCUGUUAUGCAUCCAUAGAUUGUCACACCCGAGUGGUAAAGUUUUAGUUUCCAGAUGAGCCAGCCUUUGAGUGGGAAGGUAAUUCAGUGUCUUCCAAGAGUCAUUUUAUAUUCUAUCUUAAAGACACAAAUUUGAUCUCAAAAGGGUGUAUCUAUCAUCUAGUUUGAGUUAAAGACACCAAGUUUGAGACUCCAACAGUUCAGUCAGUUUGUAUAGUCAAUGAGUUUCCUGAGGUUUUUCCCAAAGAUUUGCUAGGGGUACCUCCCAAUAGGGAAAUAGAAUUCGGUAUUGACUUUCUUCCCAAUACUCAUCCCAUUUCCAUUCUUCCAUAUCGAAUGGCUCCAGCUGAUAUUAAAGAUUUAAAAGAGUAGCUUAACGACCUUUUAUAUAAAGGUUUGAUAAGGCCAAGUGUCUCUACAUGGGGUACUCCCAUCCUAUUUGUGCAAGAGAAAGAUGGUUCUUUGUGAAUGUGCAUUGACUAUUGUCAGCUUAAUAAAGUCACAAUCAAAAACAAAUAUCCUCUUCCUAGGAUUGAUGAAUUAUUUGACCAACUCCAACGUGCAAGUUACUUCUCCAAGAUAGACCUUAGAUUCGGCUAUCAUCAGCCUAGAGUAAGGUAAUGUGAUAUUCUAAAGGCAGCUUUCAGAACCCGUUAUGGUCAUUUUAAGUUUCUAGUCAUGUCCUUCAAGCUAACAAAUGCCUCAGUAGCCUUCAUGGACUUGAUGAACAUAGUGCUCAAACAGUAUCUGGACAUGUUUGUCAUAGUCUUUAUCGAUGAUAUUCUUAUUUAUUCUCGUAGUGAGGGUGACCAUACAGACCAUCUUAGAAUUAUGUUGCAAACUCUUAGAGAUCACCAGUUGUUUACCGAAUUCAGCAAAUGCAAAUUUUGGCUAAGAUUAGUAGCUUUCCUCGGUCAUGUUAUUUCUAGUGAUGGCAUUAGAGUUGAUCUCCAAAAGAGAGAAGCAGUAAAAAAAUGUCCUAGACCUAUCUCUCCAUCAGACAUCAGAAGUUUCUUGGGUUUUUUCCGCUAUUACAGAUGUUUCAUUACGGGUUUUUCUUCUAUUAUAUCCCCUAUGUCUAGAUUGACUCAGAAGAAAGUUAAGUUUCAGUGGUCAGAUUCCUGUGAGGAGUUUUCAGGAGUUGAAGACUCGACUCACUUCAGCCCCAGUUUUAGUGCUACCUGAUGGUAUAGAUGGUUUCGUUGUCUAUUGUGAUACUUAUAUAAUCGUUUUGGGUUGUGUUUUGAUGUAAAGAGGUAAGGUUAUAGCCUAUGCCUCUAGAUAGCUUAAGCCUUACGAAAAAAACUACCCUACCCAUGAUCUUGAGUUAGCUGUUGUUGUGUUUGCUUUGAAAAUCUGGAGGCAUUAUCUUUAUGGGGUAUAUUUUGAUGUGCUCAUGGAUCACAAAAUCUUGCAAUAUGUGUUUACUCAGAGGGAUUUAAAUCUUUGUCGGAGAAGAUGGUUAGAGUUGUUGAAAGAUUAUGACAUGAGUGUGCUAUAUCAUUCGGGCAAAGCCAAUGUAGUGGCAGACACCCUUAGUAGAUUGUCUUUGGUUAGUGUUGCUCAUGUAGAGAAUGAUAAGAGGGAACUAAUUCAGAAAGUUCACCGGUUAUCUAGAUUGGGUGUGAGGUUGGUUGACUCAGCUGAAGGGAGUAUUUGGGUUCAGAGCAGUUCAGAAUCUUCUCUAGUUUCUGAAGUGAAAGAGAAGUAGGAUAAGGAUUCUAGUUUGGUCAAACUGAAGGGUACGGUUAAAGACCAAAAGAUAAAGGUUUUCUCCCAAAGGGGAUAUGGUGUGUUGAGAUACCAGAGUAGAUUAUGUGUGCUAUGUGUUGACGAUUUGAGGCAGCGAAUUAUGGCAGAAGCGCAUGGUGUACGUUACUCUAUUUAUCCAGGAGCCACUAAGAUAUACCGUGAUCUGUGGGAAGUCUAUUAGUAGAGUGGUAUGAAGAAAGAUAUCAUCGAAUUUGUAGCCAAGUGUGUGCCUUUUCAACAGGUUAAGGUAGAGCACCAACGACCUGGUAGCACUUUACAGUAGUUUGGUUUCCCACUUAGAAGUGGGAAUAGGUGAAUAUGGACUUUGUGACUAGAUUACCCCAUUCGCAUUGUCAGAAUGAUUCGAUUUGGGUUAUUACAGACAGAUUGACCAAAUUAGCCCAUUUCAUGCCAGCUUGCACAUCCUACAUAGCUGAAGAUUAUGCUAAGAUGUAUAUCAGAGAGUAAGUUAGAUUGCAUGGAGUUCCCUUGUCCAUCAUUUCAGAUAGGGGUACUCAGUUUAACUCUCAGUUUUGGAAAGCCUUUCAGAAGGGUCUUGGUACCUAAGUUCAUCUCAGUUCAACUUUUCAUCUGUAGACAGAUGGUCAGGUAGAGAGGACCAUUUAGACCUUAGAAGAUAUGUUGAAAGCAUAUGUUCUUGAUUUCAAAGGCAGUUGGGAUGACCACUUGCCAUUGACCAAGUUUUCCUACAAUAUUAGUUACCAUUAUAGUAUUUAAAUGGCCCCGUUUAAGGUUCUGUAUGGGCGGAGAUGUAGAUCACCAGUUAGUUGGUUCAAAGUGGGUGAGGACACUUUGAUUGGGCCAGAUAUGGUGUUUGCAGCCAUGGAGAAAGUUUAGUUGAUUCGAGAGAUAUAGAAGGUAGCUCUGAGUCGUCAAAAAUCGUAUGCAGACGUAAGAAAGAGAGAUCUUGAGUUUGAAGUAGAUGAUCUUGUGUAUUUAAAAUUUUUACCCAUAAAGGGGGUGAAGAUAUUUGGCAAAAAUGGGAAGCUUAGUCCCCGAUAUAUAGGCCCCUACAGGAUUUUGAGUCGUGUANNNNNNNNNNAGCUUGAGCUACCUGCAGACUUGUCAUCAGUUCAUCCAGUAUUCCAUGUGUCCUUAUUAAAAAAGUGCAUGGAUGAUUCAUCUAUUGUAGUCACUCUAGAAAGCCAGAUAUUCAGAAUAGCCUUUCAUACGAUGAAGUUCCGGUAGAGAUUCUUGAUUAUCAGACCCAUAGACUAAGGAAUAAAGAAGUUUCCCUGGUCGAAGUUCUGUGGCGAAAUCAGUCCAUUGAGGGUGCUACUUAGGAAGCAGAAGCACACAUGCAUACCAAGUAUCCUCAUCUCUUCUCCACGAACUCAGAUUCAGUCGAAGGUAACAGUCCUCCUUAAUUCAGUUCUUUUUUCCAGCCUCAAAUUCAUCUAUAUAGUUAUCUUCAUGUAAAUUCAUACACUCGCAAAUUAGUUCAGUUACUCAGUAUAUAUUAGAUUCAGUCAUGCAGUUUAUUUCAAUUGUGCAUGCCAGCAUAUAGCCUCAGUUCCUCAGUAUCUUCAAUUUAAUUAGUCUCAUUCGAGGACGAAUGUUUUCAAGGGGGAGAUAUUGUAAUGCCCCACAUUUUUCCUAGCUCAGUUUAGCUCCUAGUGUGUCAAGAGACAACUUUGAAAAGGUAUAACACUUGAUACAUGUGGAAUUUUCUAGUUCUAGACCCACCAAAUGGUAGAUAAUUGAAUCAGCUUUCCAACGAUACCAAUUUCGCCUCAAUCCGAUACUCGAUUAAGAAGUUAUGGCAAUUUUAAUGAAAGUAGUAGGACACCGCGAAUAGCCCGCGUUGUAGAGAAGUUCUAGUUCCCAUUUGUAUUUUUCCAGUAUCUCACCACAAUUAGCUUGUUUUGCAUUAAAAUUCCCAAUUGGACAGACACCACGUCGCAGUGGAGUGCAAAAUGACACUCAUCCUUUUUCAGAGCCAGAGCCAAAAAUGGCGUUCGUCCUUUUUCAAAUGAGCCACCACAUUUGUAAUGCAUCGCGGUGGGGAUCAAAAUUGGAAUUUUCAGUUCUGGACUAAUUUUUACAAAGACAACCUAGUUAUUUCUUAAGCCCCCAAUUCAUGUAAAACAAAAGAUUUAACCUAUUCUAAGCAUUAUAUACUCACUCUUCAUCAAAUUUCUCUUCAAGAAAACCUAGAACCUCAAUACUUAAACCCCAAGAAAUCUAAAUUCCACCAUUCUUUUUCCAAGAUAACCCAAAAUUUAAGAUUCCCAAUUCAAGAACUUCAAGAAUCAAUCUUUAAGAGCACAAAUAGGAAUUCAAGUUCAAGCUUCUUUAUCAGCUUCACCAAUUAAGGUAUGUGGGGUUAUGAACAAGGAUAAUUCUUUCAUCCUUGUGCCUAAAGUUAUUUUAAAGUUGAAUUUUGAAUGAAAUUAUAUGAAUUUCAGUUUAGGGUUUAUACCCACUUAAUUACUAUUUGAAGAUUAUGAGAUUUUGAGAGAUUUAGAUGUUGAAUUGCAUGUCUACUUUCAUAUUUUUAUGCGUAUUGCAGUAAUUUCUAGAUUUAGAAUUGAAUUAUCAAUAUUUUCAUUAUCAAGCAUGAACUUUAUGAUGAUUUGACAUAAAAUAGAUGCAUGGGUUACUACCCCUAGUUUGAAUGUUGUUAUUUCAAGAAGAUUAUGCUUUUAAGCAUCCCACGAUUUGUAUUUUCAGAUUUUUAUAAAGAUUUGAUCUUUCGAUCCUCAGUUAAGAUAUGGAAUCCACUUUACAGUUUUAUUACAGUUUACAAAAAACAAAUUAACCUUGCUUACAGUUUGAAACAGAUAGAUGCAUAAUUGAUUUUUCAUUAUAAACCCUUAUGCUAGUUUUAAAAAGUGGAUUUCCAACAGAAUGAGCAUACAGAUUAAAGGGUGUAGUAUUUAGCACCGAGGUUUACAUGUUCCAAAACAAUAGUCAAUGUAGGUACAGAUUAUCAGAUUAUUCUCAUUUCUACAUGGAUGACAUAUACAAAUGUGAUCACUUAGAUUAGGUUAUACUCCUUGGCAAGAGAAUGACGCCUCUCCCCAACGUGAGGUUUUCCCAUAAGGGGACUAGACGUUGGACACUAUGAUAGCUCACAUAGUGUAUGUCGGUUAGAAGAACCUCCAUGAUAGUAAAUACUUGCAGAACAGUUUAGAAACUAAUUGUAAAGGCUCACAGUUUUAUUCAGAUAUUAUUUUGAAUACGAUAUUAGCUAUGAGAUUUUAUAUUUCAGUUUACAGAUAUAGAAGUGAGUCCUUUCUAUACUUAGACAGCAUGAUUUAAAUAAGGAAUACCAGUACAACUUUUAGAAACUAUAUGUUAUGACUCACUAGAUUUAUGCAGCAUGUUUUACUAUUCAUGAUUAUGAUUUUCAGUUUUCAGAUAUUCCAACUUAUGUGAGUCAUCUAUAUUUAGCAUGCAUUAUUUUACAAAUUUAUAAUAAUAUUGAGAUAUUGAUUCACUUGUGCAUUCCCCCCCAAAUAGGUGUUAGUCUAGCUUUCCAAGCUCCCACAAGCUUAACUUUUAAGCCCCCGCACUAUUUUGGGGUUAAACUCUCAAGAGGCAAGAUGAAAAAUGAGCAAAAUAGUUCAAAAAGAGUGAAAAAAUUGUAUUUAUUGCAGAUUUUCUGCAACAUUUAGUGCAGAUUUUUUUCCCUUGAGUCGAAACGGACUUCAAUAGGGUGCCCAAAAUUCGUUCAGAGUGCGAUAUACACAAACGAACUAUGCAACCACACUAAAUUCAAUAUUUCAAACGCUAUGGCAAUAUCAUAUUUUCAAAAAAAAAUCAUUUUCACAAAGUUGACCCCCGAAACUCGAAAUCAUAAUUUUCUAAAUCUGGGGUUGAAAUGAGAUUUAAAAGCCGUAAAAUCAUACCAAACACGCUAACACCCUACAAUCAAUAUUUCGGAUCUGUUGACAAAGUCGAAUUUUUCAUCCGAGGUCAUUUCGAUCAAAUAUGGGUCCCACACUCAUAUUUUCAAUUUUCCAACUUUCCUAUCAAUAGGUCAAAAUGAGCUUGUGUGUAUCGGGACCCGAACCAAAGGUCUACCUAGCCUAAAAUCAAUAUUCUGAAGCUGCUGGCACAGUCCGUUUGGCCAUCCGUUGCAUGGAUAAAAAAAUAUCCUCAUAAUUCUAAAAUAACGCUCUUAAAGCCAUCAAAAACCAUAAUAUCGCAUAAAUGAUAUCAAAAGGCAUCGAAAAAUAUGUCAAUCACUCUCACUUCUCAGAAAUACCAUAAUGCAACUACGGAGAGGGAUAAACUAGUGAAAUCAGACAAAAUCACAAAUUUCACAUAAUUCAUCAAAUUUUUGGGUUGUUACAAUAGAACUAAUACAAUUUUUUAUGUAUAAUAUGGAGCAGUAAUAGUCCCUCAGAAAAGUAAACGAGAUUGGUAACAUAGUAUAUGAUAGGCUCACACUGCUAGUCAUGUAUGCAAGGACAGUUAUCCUGUUAUUUUUGUGAUCAAACUAACAGCUGAAAAUGGGGUCCUUCAUUUUGAAAAAAGAUUAAAUGUAACAGCCUGUAUAAUCAUUCAAAUAAGCUUUACUAUUAUUCAAAGCAUUUUAUUCAUCUUCAAAAUUGAGGGCGCCCUUCUUGUUCACUUACUCCAUAUUUUUUUAAUAGAUGUGCCUAGGUGAUCGGGUCAAUUUCCACACACCUCAAUUAUGUAUUAAUCACCUAAUGCAUAUUAUCUCCCACUAGCACAAGUAGCCGAUAACUUUGUUAAACAGAGGGAAAAAAUCACCCUGUGUUAACUAAAAUCUAAGCAUUGGUCUACAAUGAUUUUCACUCACUAAACCCUAGGCCAGUCCUGAGAUGUUUACUCUUACAUUUUCUAAUCUGAUAUAGCUAUCACUAUUUUCCUUAGCUCAUCACUUGUCACUAAUAUAGUACGGUAGAAAUUAGGGUCGAAGGUUAGUUGAUAGUCGAGAGUUGUCUAAUUUCCUAUCAAUUUUGUUAUUGUUACUCUCUUACUAUCUUUCUCUAAUUCUAGUAGUACAUGUUGUUUCUUUUACUUCCAUUAUCAGAUUAUAUGUUGUUGCUACUUGAUCCCUUCCACUUUUUGACCACUGCAAUUGAAAAAUAACCAUUGUUUUAAAGUUUUAUCUGUGAAAUUUGGUUAACAAUAAAACUAGGCCCCAAAGGUGAGAACAAUUCACUACAUGGAAGGCAUGUCUAAUACUUGAAAAUUACAAAUUGGAUUGCAAAAGAGACUAUUCAGCUCCUAAAAGGACAUGACUUUGUGACUCUCCUAGCCUCUCACAAAAUAAUUGUCCUAUCUUUCUUAUCUUUCAGGAUAGAAGAUUCCAUUGACAACCUCUAUUCGUGUCCUUAAAUCGAUUGUAAUCUCCAACAGUUAAACUAAAUUUUUUUUAUAGAUAUCACUUUCCAUUGUAUAGAAUUGCUGCAUCAUAAUGGUAGAUUCCACUUUCAUUACGCUGACACAGAGAUUUCGACCAGCAGAAAUCCUAUGGUUACAACCAGUUCAAUAGUCAUCAAGAAAAUAUCUCUAGAAGCGGCAAAUCAAAAUGAGAAAUAGAAUAAAACAGUCAUAUGGAUAUAGGACCUUCCACCAUCCGAAAGAUUAGUUUUCACUACUCUAAGGCGCGUGGCAAUUUAUUGGCAAAAAUUAAUAUGCAGCAGUGCUUGUCAAUUGCCAUAAGAAAUCCAACAGAGGGAUAUGCAACCUGUUAGCAUCUACUAAGCAUGAAUUGAAUAACAACAGUUCUAGAAUGAGCAAAGAAAAUGAAUAUUUACCCCCCAGAUACCUGAAUCCCCUGAUUAUUGAUACCUCAAUAGUCGAAAACAAACAGUCCUCAUCUUCUCUAAUUUGCCUUAAUUCCCCAACCUUCAAACUUACACUUCCAAAGUACCUAAUAAACUCACACCAAGCACUAAUCUUCUGUAAACUACUCAAGUUCUUCUUAUUUUGCGGAAAACAAACCACAUUGCUUUAAAAAACAACUAAUUUUUAUUGCUAACUAAUCCUACGACAACAUAAACUUCUAAAUCAACAAGAAAUCCAAUUCUUAUGUAUGCUAACAAGAGCUGACAACAACCCAACCAAAUUGAUCAACAAAUUCCAAUAUUACUCUUCUCUAUUCUCUUCUUCUCCUCUAGCCCCCCCAAACCUUGUAUAUAAAUGUGUUUGGUACGAUGAUAGCUUUUCAUACAUGAUAUAAAAAGCUCAUAAUAUAGUUAUAGUUGUGUCAAAUGAGUGGAUUAACACUGAAUUUGGAUGAGUUAAAAUAGAAUAGUAGUAAAUAGAUACCUCGGUUAUCAAGAUAAAUUGUAGAAUAAAAGACUUGUUGGUGAUUAAGAUAUCUUACAACAGUAGGCCUCUUGAAUGAACCAACUUUUAUUCUUCCACACAAAUCCUCACAAUCUUC
RNAcentral lists this long non-coding RNA (15264 nucleotides) under Capsicum annuum. Its description in RNAcentral is "long non-coding RNA (CANN_LNC003088)". The record is from RNAcentral. Lineage: Eukaryota; Viridiplantae; Streptophyta; Magnoliopsida; Solanales; Solanaceae.